AAGAACAUUAUAUGUAUCACUAAUUAUGUUUAAUGGUAUGAUAAUACCAUUAAUCUAGUCAUUCAGACAUAUUUCAUAUUACGCAUCACUAAUUGUGUUUAAGAAUCCCAAGUUACUACUACACUUGCAUAUUUAACGUUGCAAAAUCCAAUAGUCUUAUGAACUAUUACAUAAAACAGGGAGAAAAUACAAAAAGUACUGUCAAAACACUAAAAUACAACAACCACUUAACCUAUGCCCCCAUAGUAGACUAGUCUUGAAGAUGGAAAAAUCAGUAAGGAGAUUCUGAGUGCAGCAUAAAAGCAGAAAAUCUCUACAAGCUUUGCCAUCCUAUUGCACACCUGAGGGAUCAGGGUAAAUGUUAUAUAUUAAAACUCAAAGAACAUUAUAUGUUAUGAUAAUAUGAACGAAAGCAACUGAAUAUAGUAGAUAUAAAUCAGUGAUGCGUAACCUGGUAUCUAUGAAGUAUGGACACUUUUCAGAGGUGAUGCGCGAAAGCAACUCAAAGAACAUUAUAUUUCAUUAUUUUACUAUCUAGUUCAAAUGUGGGAUCCAAAAACAUACAAUCACAAAACAUACAAUCACAAAAUCAAUAUAUCAAGACAAAAUCACCAAUUUCACCAAUAUCAAUUGAGUUACCUAAAUUUUGCAACAUUCACUGCUGCAAAAGGCUUUAUCACCCCUGAAAGAACAACAAUACAAGAUAAACUAAAAGCGUAGUGAUUAAGAAAGAGAACCAGUACUAAUCCAAAACCAAUAACUAAAUAGUUGAAAUAAAUUAUGAAAUAUGUACCAUCUGUUACAAUCAAUAUAACUGUUGUUGCGGCGGCUCUUGAUUUUGGGGAUAAUUUCCAUAACCAACAUCAUCUUGCAUCUCUGUACCUGUAAAAAAUAAAAUAAAAUAUGUAUAUUAGAUUUAUAGAUAUGUAACUCAUAAUAUUGAAUAAAAUAAAUGAUCAAACCUUGGAUUGAUUGUAACAGUAAUAUUGACUUUCAUACAAAACAUUACAUCAAAGUAAACUAAAUAAAAAACCAAAAAUAAGGCAAAUAAUUUGCAAUAAAGUCCAAAUUCUGCAUAUCAAAGGGUCACGUGUAAUUGAAAAGGGUGGAAAAUCACAAGAAGUAACCUGAAUAUUAGCCCAAACAGCCACUGCAAGAGGAACCCAAUUGUCGAGAGAAAAGACCCAUUUCUCAAUUGACCAAAAACUAAAACCAAAUGAAUUGCAAAUGGGAGAAAAGGCUUUUCCACCAAUAACUGGUUAAAAAGCUCUAUAGCAUCAUUCAAAUCAUAACUCCUCUUUAUACAGGUUAUUUCUUAUGCAUCACUACAAAAAAGAAUUUCUUUAGGAGAGAGUCUCACUGACCUUACGAUUUGCAAACCCUUACUUCAAAUCGGCGGGCUUUGAGAGAAUCCUAGUUUUGACAGAGAAUCGGGGAAAGGGUUUCUGGGAAAGGGGCUUUAAAAAUGAUUUUGCUUGUUGAAAGUGAAAGUUUUUUUUUGCAGAUGGGUUUUUGACCCAGGUCUUUGUGACCCGAAUUUUUCCUCCCUUUUUUUACUUUGUGACCCG
Molecule: long non-coding RNA, 1568 nt
Filed under: Panax ginseng (ginseng)
Lineage: Eukaryota; Viridiplantae; Streptophyta; Magnoliopsida; Apiales; Araliaceae
Description: long non-coding RNA (PGIN_LNC004055)
Source: RNAcentral